CGGUGUUGUUCACGGGGAUAAGAUCACACCGAUCGGAUUUUUGGGCUCUACCUACCCACCCAUGUCUAAAGCCCGUGUUUAUGCAGAUGUCAAUGUUCUGCGCCCCAAGGACUAUUGGGAUUACGAAUCUCUUGCUGUUCAAUGGGGUGAUCAAGACGAUUAUGAGGUUGUCCGGAAAGUUGGAAGAGGAAAAUAUAGUGAG
Molecule: unclassified non-coding RNA, 202 nt
Filed under: Hevea brasiliensis (rubber tree)
Lineage: Eukaryota; Viridiplantae; Streptophyta; Magnoliopsida; Malpighiales; Euphorbiaceae
Source: RNAcentral